CAGGGAUUGAAGAUUAUAGCAUCGACCUAUCCCCAAAUUUUUAAGAGAGGUGAGGUGCAGAAGCCCCUUGUCCAGAAACUUCAGAUUCUCAAGACUGAUGAGAUUAAGUGAGGAAAGAGUGGAUGGCAGCAGCAUCUUCCCAGGAAAGGAUACCAUAUCAACGCCAUCGUACCCAACAAUGGUAAGCUCCAAAAGAGAGGACGCUGCGCGCAAAUCCCAAUGCAUGAGGUGAGCAACGAGUUUGCUGCACUUACAAAUGCCAAGUGACUCUAAUUGAGAGGGCAAAACCCCUCCCAGAAACAACUCAAGCUUUGGACAAUUGACUACCGUCAAAUUUUUGAGGUCUUGAAGUCCCUUGUAGUCUAUGGAUUUCAGGUUUUGAAAACCAUUAAUUUGAAGAGAGAUAAGAGUUGAUGGCAGCAGCAUCUCCCCUGGAAAAGCUUCCACAUCGUCACAGCUUUCAAUAACAAUUUUCACAAGAGAGUGGAAGGUUUGCAGAUCCCACUGCAUGCAGCCUGCGAUCAGUUUGUUGCCACCACCAACAUCCAGCGAUUCUAAUUUUUCCAGCAAACAUCCUUAUUGGAAAUGGCUCGAGUUGCGGACAAUAACGGAUAUAUAGAGAAGAAAGGGAGGAGGGUAGCCCAUCCUUGGGAAAACACUCUAGUGCUGGACAAUGCAUUAUACUAAAAUCAGGUCGUGAAUAGUGUUUAAUUAGUUAAGAAAAAAUUUUAAUCGGAUUCAGGUCGUGAGAAUGUUAAUUGAGUCCAGAUUCCAACA
Long non-coding RNA from Hevea brasiliensis (rubber tree), 777 nucleotides. RefSeq lists it as uncharacterized. Lineage: Eukaryota; Viridiplantae; Streptophyta; Magnoliopsida; Malpighiales; Euphorbiaceae. The record is from RefSeq and is a predicted model, not a curated record. The transcript is spliced from 2 exons.